RNAcentral lists this transfer RNA (70 nucleotides) under Fibrisoma montanum. RNAcentral describes it as "Fibrisoma sp. HYT19 tRNA-Asn". It matches the Rfam family "tRNA". Rfam says of the family: Transfer RNA (tRNA) molecules are approximately 80 nucleotides in length. Their secondary structure includes four short double-helical elements and three loops (D, anti-codon, and T loops). Further hydrogen bonds mediate the characteristic L-shaped molecular structure. tRNAs have two regions of fundamental functional importance: the anti-codon, which is responsible for specific mRNA codon recognition, and the 3' end, to which the tRNAs corresponding amino acid is attached (by aminoacyl-tRNA synthetases). tRNAs cope with the degeneracy of the genetic code in two manners: having more than one tRNA (with a specific anti-codon) for a particular amino acid; and 'wobble' base-pairing, i.e. permitting non-standard base-pairing at the 3rd anti-codon position. Lineage: Bacteria; Pseudomonadati; Bacteroidota; Cytophagia; Cytophagales; Spirosomataceae. The record is from RNAcentral.
CGAAUAAUACCUAAAUAGGUAUUGGCUAUGACUGUUAAUCAGAGGGUCGCUGGUUCGAGCCCAGCUUCGG